CCCAAGUCCAGACAAGCCCAGCUGACCCAUCAGUGGUGUGUGCAGGCAGACCAAGUCCUGCAGCCAGAGGCUCAUAAGGGGCUGAUUGCACUUGGCAUUGCAUUUGCCUUCAGCUGCUUUCCAAAUUAAAUUUAACUUUUUAGGGAUCAGCCGGAUGAAGCUGCUUACUGCAGCUGUGAGGCCUGUCCCUCCAUGAAGAACAGCAAAGCUCCUUGGCAGGCUCCAGCUGCCCGGGCUGUGCUUGCUCAGCUCCUCUGCUGCCCCAAACCUCUUGCUGCCUGCACUUCAGCCAUGCUUCUCCUCAAGGAUCUCAAAACACCCCCCUGGUGCUGUUUUGUUUCAGGGCAAGGAAAUGACUGUUGGAUUGCUGAUCAGCCAAGCUUUUCUAGAGAGAGCAAAUAUUAA
Molecule: long non-coding RNA, 405 nt
Filed under: Junco hyemalis (dark-eyed junco)
Lineage: Eukaryota; Metazoa; Chordata; Aves; Passeriformes; Passerellidae
Description: lncRNA (ENSJHYG00000004944.1)
Source: RNAcentral